CUCCUGGAAACGGGUGGUAAUGCCGGAUGCUCCGGUUGGAUGCAUGUCCUUCCGGGAAAGAUCCGUCGGUAUGGGAUGGGGUCGCGUCCUAUCAGCUUGAUGGCGGGGUAACGGCCCACCAUGGCUUCGACGGGUAGCCGGCCUGAGAGGGCGACCGGCCACAUUGGGACUGAGAUACGGCCCAGACUCCUACGGGAGGCAGCAGUGGGGAAUAUUGCACAAUGGGCGCAAGCCUGAUGCAGCGACGCCGCGUGCGGGAUGGAGGCCUUCGGGUUGUAAACCGCUUUUGAUCGGGAGCAAGCCCUUCGGGGUGAGUGUACCUUUCGAAUAAGCACCGGCUAACUACGUGCCAGCAGCCGCGGUAAUACGUAGGGUGCAAGCGUUAUCCGGAAUUAUUGGGCGUAAAGGGCUCGUAGGCGGUUCGUCGCGUCCGGUGUGAAAGCCCAUCGCUUAACGGUGGGUCUGCGCCGGGUACGGGCGGGCUGGAGUGCGGUAGGGGAGACUGGAAUUCCCGGUGUAACGGUGGAAUGUGUAGAUA
RNAcentral lists this ribosomal RNA (538 nucleotides) under Bifidobacterium dentium. RNAcentral's name for it is "bacterial SSU rRNA". It matches the Rfam family "Bacterial small subunit ribosomal RNA", at positions 147 to 696 of the family's 1533-position model. The record is from RNAcentral. Lineage: Bacteria; Bacillati; Actinomycetota; Actinomycetes; Bifidobacteriales; Bifidobacteriaceae.